UACCCAAUCCUGACACAGGGAGGUAGUGACAAUAAAUAACAAUACCGGGCGUUUUUACGUCUGGUAAUUGGAAUGAGAACAAUCUAAAUCCCUUAUCGAGGAUCAAUUGGAGGGCAAGUCUGGUGCCAGCAGCCGCGGUAAUUCCAGCUCCAAUAGCGUAUAUUUAAGUUGUUGCGGUUAAAAAGCUCGUAGUUGGAUUUCGGGCGUGGAGGUUCGGUCCGCCGCUUCGGUGUGCACUGUCUUUCUGCGUCUUUCUGUCGGGGACGCGCUUCUGGCCUUAAUUGGCUGGGACGUGGAUUCGACGAGGUUACUUUGAAAAAAUUAGAGUGUUCAAAGCAAGCUAAAGCUCUGAAUACAUUAGCAUGGAAUAACGCGAGAGGACUCGGUCCUUAUUUUGUUGGUCUUCAAGGAUGGAGUAAUGAUUAAGAGGGACAGUUGGGGGCAUUCGUAUUUCAUUGCUAGAGGUGAAAUUCUUGGAUUUAUGAAAGACGAACUUCUGCGAAAGCAUUUGCCAAGGAUGUUUUCAUUGAUCAAGAACGAAAGUUGGGGGCUCGAAGAUGAUCAGAUACCAUCCUAGUCUCAACCAUAAACGAUGCCGACUAGGGAUUGGCAGGUGUUACAUCGAUGACUCUGCCAGCACCUUAUGAGAAAUCAAAGUUUUUGGGUUCCGGGGGGAGUAUGGUCGCAAGGCUGAAACUUAAAGGAAUUGACGGAAGGGCACCACCAGGAGUGGAGCCUGCG
RNAcentral lists this ribosomal RNA (741 nucleotides) under uncultured Pycnococcaceae. RNAcentral's name for it is "SSU rRNA". It matches the Rfam family "Eukaryotic small subunit ribosomal RNA", at positions 442 to 1187 of the family's 1831-position model. The record is from RNAcentral. Lineage: Eukaryota; Viridiplantae; Chlorophyta; Pseudoscourfieldiophyceae; Pseudoscourfieldiales; Pycnococcaceae.